UGGGGAAUAUUGGACAAUGGGCGAAAGCCUGAUCCAGCCAUGCCGCGUGUGUGAAGAAGGUCUUCGGAUUGUAAAGCACUUUAAGUUGGGAGGAAGGGCAUUAACCUAAUACGUUAGUGUUUUGACGUUACCGACAGAAUAAGCACCGGCUAACUCUGUGCCAGCAGCCGCGGUAAUACAGAGGGUGCAAGCGUUAAUCGGAAUUACUGGGCGUAAAGCGCGCGUAGGUGGUUUGUUAAGUUGGAUGUGAAAUCCCCGGGCUCAACCUGGGAACUUCAUUCAAAACUGACUGACUAGAGUAUGGUAGAGUGUGGUGGAAUUUCCUGUGUAGCGGUGAAAUGCGUAGAUAUAGGAAGGAA
RNAcentral lists this ribosomal RNA (359 nucleotides) under uncultured bacterium. RNAcentral's name for it is "partial 16S ribosomal RNA". It matches the Rfam family "Bacterial small subunit ribosomal RNA", at positions 355 to 706 of the family's 1533-position model. The record is from RNAcentral.